UAGUAGUGUAUAUUAAAGUUGUUGCAGUUAAAAAGCUCGUAGUUGAAUGUUGGUGUCGAACGAGCGGUCAGCUUCGGCUGUACUGCUCUCUCGACUCCUUCCUUCUGUGGACUACGUCGCACUUUACUGUGUGGCGCUAGGACGCAGAUCGUUUACUGUGAAAAAAUUAGAGUGUUCAAAGCAGGCCGUACGCUUGAAUACAUUAGCAUGGAAUAAUGGAAUAGGACGUCGGGCCUAUUUUGUUGGUUCUAGGACCGUCGUAAUGAUUAAUAGGGACAGUUGGGGCCGUUUAUAUUCCGUAGUCAGAGGUGAAAUUCUUGGAUUUACGGAAGAUAAACUACUGCGAAAGCAUUCGGCAAGGAUGUUUUCGUUAA
Molecule: ribosomal RNA, 374 nt
Filed under: uncultured eukaryote
Lineage: Eukaryota
Description: partial 18S ribosomal RNA
Rfam family: Eukaryotic small subunit ribosomal RNA
Source: RNAcentral